RNAcentral lists this ribosomal RNA (1087 nucleotides) under human oral bacterium AC54. Its description in RNAcentral is "bacterial SSU rRNA". It matches the Rfam family "Bacterial small subunit ribosomal RNA", at positions 393 to 1474 of the family's 1533-position model. The record is from RNAcentral.
CAUGCCGCGUGUCUGAAGAAGGCCUUCGGGUUGUAAAGGACUUUUGUCAGGGAAGAAAAGGGCGGGGUUAAUACCCCUGUCUGAUGACGGUACCUGAAGAAUAAGCACCGGCUAACUACGUGCCAGCAGCCGCGGUAAUACGUAGGGUGCGAGCGUUAAUCGGAAUUACUGGGCGUAAAGCGGGCGCAGACGGUUACUUAAGCAGGAUGUGAAAUCCCCGGGCUCAACCUGGGAACUGCGUUCUGAACUGGGUGACUAGAGUGUGUCAGAGGGAGGUAGAAUUCCACGUGUAGCAGUGAAAUGCGUAGAGAUGUGGAGGAAUACCGAUGGCGAAGGCAGCCUCCUGGGAUAACACUGACGUUCAUGCCCGAAAGCGUGGGUAGCAAACAGGAUUAGAUACCCUGGUAGUCCACGCCCUAAACGAUGUCGAUUAGCUGUUGGGCAGCAUGACUGCUUAGUAGCGAAGCUAACGCGUGAAAUCGACCGCCUGGGGAGUACGGUCGCAAGAUUAAAANUCAAAGGAAUUGACGGGGACCCGCACAAGCGGUGGAUGAUGUGGAUUAAUUCGAUGCAACGCGAAGAACCUUACCUGGUCUUGACAUGUACGGAACCCUCCAGAGACGGAGGGGUGCCUUCGGGAGCCGUAACACAGGUGCUGCAUGGCUGUCGUCAGCUCGUGUCGUGAGAUGUUGGGUUAAGUCCCGCAACGAGCGCAACCCUUGUCAUUAGUUGCCAUCAUUAAGUUGGGCACUCUAAUGAGACUGCCGGUGACAAGCCGGAGGAAGGUGGGGAUGACGUCAAGUCNUCAUGGCCCUUAUGACCAGGGCUUCACACGUCAUACAAUGGUCGGUACAGAGGGUAGCCAAGCCGCGAGGUGGAGCCAAUCUCACAAAACCGAUCGUAGUCCGGAUUGCACUCUGCAACUCGAGUGCAUGAAGUCGGAAUCGNUAGUAAUCGCAGGUCAGCAUACUGCGGUGAAUACGUUCCCGGGUCUUGUACACACCGCCCGUCACACCAUGGGAGUGGGGGAUACCAGAAGUAGGUAGGGUAACCGCAAGGAGCCCGCUUACCACGGUAUGCUUCAUGA